CCUACGGGAGGCAGCAGUGGGGGAUAUUGCACAAUGGGGGGAACCCUGAUGCAGCGACGCCGCGUGGGUGAAGAAGCGCCUCGGCGCGUAAAGCCCUGUCAGCAGGGAAGAAAAUGACGGUACCUGACGAAGAAGCCCCGGCUAACUACGUGCCAGCAGCCGCGGUAAUACGUAGGGGGCAAGCGUUAUCCGGAUUUACUGGGUGUAAAGGGGGCGCAGACGGCGAUGCAAGCCAGGAGUGAAAGCCCGGGGCCCAACCCCGGGACUGCUCUUGGAACUGCGUGGCUGGAGUGCAGGAGGGGCAGGCGGAAUUCCUGGUGUAGCGGGGAAAUGCGUAGAUAUCAGGAGGAACACCGGUGGCGAAGGCGGCCUGCUGGACUGCAACUGACGUUGAGGCCCGAAAGCGUGGGGAGCAAACAGGAUUAGAUACCCCGGUAGUC
This 440-nucleotide ribosomal RNA is filed under the name uncultured bacterium. Its description in RNAcentral is "partial 16S ribosomal RNA". It matches the Rfam family "Bacterial small subunit ribosomal RNA", at positions 338 to 795 of the family's 1533-position model. The record is from RNAcentral.